RNAcentral lists this ribosomal RNA (520 nucleotides) under uncultured Glomus. RNAcentral describes it as "SSU rRNA". It matches the Rfam family "Eukaryotic small subunit ribosomal RNA", at positions 569 to 1090 of the family's 1831-position model. Lineage: Eukaryota; Fungi; Glomeromycota; Glomeromycetes; Glomerales; Glomeraceae. The record is from RNAcentral.
AGCAGCCGCGGUAAUUCCAGCUCCAAUAGCGUAUAUUAAAGUUGUUGCAGUUAAAAAGCUCGUAGUUGAAUUUCGGGAUCAGCAGGUCGGUCGUGCCACUGGUAUGCACUGGCCUUGCUGAUUCCUCCCUCUUGAUGAGCCGUAAUGCCAUUAAUUUGGUGUUGCGGGGAAUCAGGACUGUUACUUUGAAAAAAUUAGAGUGUUUAAAGCAGGCAUGCGCUUGAAUACAUUAGCAUGGAAUAAUGAAAUAGGACGUUCGAUCCUAUUUUGCUGGUUUCUAGGAUUGACGUAAUGAUUAAUAGGGAUAGUUGGGGGCAUUAGUAUUCAAUUGUCAGAGGUGAAAUUCUUGGAUUUAUUGAAGACUAACUACUGCGAAAGCAUUUGCCAAGGAUGUUUUCAUUAAUCAAGAACGAAAGUUAGGGGAUCGAAGACGAUCAGAUACCGUCGUAGUCUUAACCAUAAACUAUGCCGACUAGGGAUCGGAUGAUGUUAAUUUUCUAAUGACUCAUUCGGCGCCUUG